AGCGAACGCUGCGGCAGGCUUGACACAUGCAAGUCGAACGCCCCGCAAGGGGAGUGGCAGACGGGUGAGUAACACGUGGGAACGUACCCUUUGGUUCGGAAUAACUUGGGGAAACUCAAGCUAAUACCGGAUAAGCCCUUAUGGGGAAAGGUUUACUGCCGAAGGAUCGGCCCGCGUCUGAUUAGCUAGUUGGUGAGGUAAUGGCUCACCAAGGCGACGAUCAGUAGCUGGUCUGAGAGGAUGCUCAGCCACACUGGGACUGAGACACGGCCCAGACUCCGACGGGAGGCAGCAGUGGGGAAUAUUGGACAAUGGGGGCAACCUUGAUCCAGCCAUGCCGCGUGAGUGAUGAAGGCCUUAGGGUUGUAAAGCUCUUUUACCCGGGACGAUAAUGACUGUACCGGGAGAAUAAGCCCCGGCUAACUUCGUGCCAGCCGCCGCCGUAA
This 446-nucleotide ribosomal RNA is filed under the name uncultured bacterium. Its description in RNAcentral is "partial 16S ribosomal RNA". It matches the Rfam family "Bacterial small subunit ribosomal RNA", at positions 29 to 523 of the family's 1533-position model. The record is from RNAcentral.